RNAcentral lists this long non-coding RNA (734 nucleotides) under Salmo salar (Atlantic salmon). RNAcentral's name for it is "lncRNA (ENSSSAG00000114225.1)". The record is from RNAcentral. Lineage: Eukaryota; Metazoa; Chordata; Actinopteri; Salmoniformes; Salmonidae.
AGGACUACUACAGACCAGCACAGCAGUACUACAGACCAGCACAGGACUACUACAGACCAGCACAGCAGUACUACAGACCAGCACAGCAGUACUACAGACCAGCACAGGACUACUACAGACCAGCACAGGACUACCUACCGCAGACACUGUAGAGCCCUGGACACAGAGCAGUACAGAGCAUACAGGACUACUACAGACCAGCACAGGACUACUACAGACCAGCACAGGACUACUACAGACCAGCACAGGACUACUACAGACCAGUACAGGACUACUACAGACCAGCGCAGGACUACUACAGACUACUACAAACCAGCACAGGACUACUACAGACCAGCACAGGACUACUACAGACUACUACAGACCAGUACAGGACUACUACAGACCAGCACAUUACUACCACAGACCAGUACAGACCAGUUUGGUGACCAGUGGAACCAGCAGGAUCCUUUUGAUGGGACUCCCAGAACAGAGGGCUGUGACUGGACAGUGAGUGACCCCAUGCCUCUGAGUCCGGCUGCCAACGCUAAGCAUGACCCCCCUGAUCACCCCCGGCAACCAGCCGCUACCAAUGGCAACCAGCCAGGUUCCGCCCUUGCCAGGGACGACGGGAGGACUUCCUCCCCAGAUCCUCCUGACGACGGCUCCGGAAACAGCAUCGUCAUCCGUAUUGGCAUCCCUGACCUGCAGCAGACGAAGUGCCUGCGGCUGGACCCCGAGGCAGCGGUGUGGAG